RNAcentral lists this transfer RNA (72 nucleotides) under Marmota monax (woodchuck). It matches the Rfam family "tRNA". Rfam says of the family: Transfer RNA (tRNA) molecules are approximately 80 nucleotides in length. Their secondary structure includes four short double-helical elements and three loops (D, anti-codon, and T loops). Lineage: Eukaryota; Metazoa; Chordata; Mammalia; Rodentia; Sciuridae. The record is from Rfam by way of RNAcentral.
UGGGGUGUAGUUCAGAGGUAGAGCAUUUGCCUAGCACGUGUAGGAAACUGGGUUCAAUCCUCAGCACCACAU